Small nuclear RNA from Pipistrellus kuhlii (Kuhl's pipistrelle), 105 nucleotides. Lineage: Eukaryota; Metazoa; Chordata; Mammalia; Chiroptera; Vespertilionidae. The record is from RefSeq and is a predicted model, not a curated record.
GUGAUCGCUUCGGCAGCACAUAUACUAAAAUUGGAACAAUGCAGAGAUUAGCAUGGCCCCUGCACAAGGAUGACAUGCAAAAUUCUUGAAGCAUUCCAUGUUUUU